AGCAGCCGCGGUAAUUCCAGCUCCAAUAGCGUAUAUUAAAGUUGUUGCAGUUAAAAAGCUCGUAGUUGAAUUUCGGGAUUGACGUGACGGUCGUGCCUUAAGGGGCGUGAACUGUCGCCGUUGAUUUCUCACCUUCUGGAGAAGCUCGAUGUCCUUAAUUGGAUGUCUUGUGGAACCAGGACCUUUACCUUGAAAAAUUAGAGUGUUUAAAGCAGGCAUUUUGCUCGAAUACAUUAGCAUGGAAUAAUAGAAUAGGACGGCAUGGUUCUAUUUUGUUGGUUUCUAGGAUCACCGUAAUGAUUAAUAGGGAUAGUUGGGGGCAUUAGUAUUCAAUUGUCAGAGGUGAAACUCUUGGAUUUAUUGAAGACUAACUACUGCGAAAGCAUUUGCCAAGGAUGUUUUCAUUAAUCAAGAACGAAAGUUAGGGGAUCGAAGACGAUCAGAUACCGUCGUAGUCUUAACCAUAAACUAUGC
Molecule: ribosomal RNA, 474 nt
Filed under: uncultured Entrophospora
Lineage: Eukaryota; Fungi; Glomeromycota; Glomeromycetes; Entrophosporales; Entrophosporaceae
Description: SSU rRNA
Rfam family: Eukaryotic small subunit ribosomal RNA
Source: RNAcentral